RNAcentral lists this unclassified non-coding RNA (161 nucleotides) under uncultured Auriculariales. RNAcentral's name for it is "sequence contains ITS1". The record is from RNAcentral. Lineage: Eukaryota; Fungi; Basidiomycota; Agaricomycetes; Auriculariales.
AAGAUUCGGCCCUCGGGCCUACCUCUCCAGCUGUGCGCUUCGGCUGCACGCUGUUGAAACUCUCACACCUGUGAACAUUCCGGUUGUGAGUUGCCUUAUGGCUUCUCACUUCCGCCUUUACAUAAAACUACAAAGUCUAGAAUGUAAAAACUAUAAAGUAA